Molecule: ribosomal RNA, 459 nt
Filed under: uncultured bacterium
Lineage: Bacteria
Description: partial 16S ribosomal RNA
Rfam family: Bacterial small subunit ribosomal RNA
Source: RNAcentral
CCUACGGGUGGCAGCAGUGAGGAAUAUUGGUCAAUGGCCGGGAGGCUGAACCAGCGAAGUCGCGUGAGGGAAGACGGCCCUACGGGUUGUAAACCUCUUUUGUCAGGGAGCAAGGUGCAGGUCGGGACCUGCUGUGAGAGUACCUGAAGAAAACGCAUCGGCUAACUCCGCGCCAGCAGCCGCGGUAAUACGGAGGAAGAGAGGGUUAUCCGGAUUUAUGGGGGUAAAAGGGUGCGCAGGCGGAGGCACAAGUUAGCGGUAAAAUCGCGGGGCUAAACCCCGCCCCGCCGUUGAAACUGUGUCCCUUGAGUGCGCGAAGGGUAGGCGGAAUGCGUGGUGUAGCGGUGAAAUGCGUAGAUAUCACGCAGAACUCCGAUCGCGAAGGCAGCCUACCGGCGCGCAACUGACGUUGAUGCACGAAAGCGUGGGUAGCGAACAGGAUUAGAUACCCGUGUAGUC